AAUAUUGCACAAUGGGCGCAAGCCUGAUGCAGCAACGCCGCGUGAGGGAUGAAUGCCUUCGGGUUGUAAACCUCUUUUAGUAGGGAAGAAGCGAAAGUGACGGUAACUGCAGAACAAGCACCGGCUAACUACGUGCCAGCAGCCGCGGUAAUACGUAGGGUGCAAGCGUUGUCCGGAAUUAUUGGGCGUACAGAGAGCGUAGGCGGCUGGCCACGUCUGCUGUGAACACCCGAGGCUCAACCUCGGGCUUGCAGUGGGUACGGGCAGGCUAGAGUGCGGUAGGGGAGAUUGGAAUUCAUGGUGUAGCGGUGGAAUGCGCAGAUAUCAGGAGGAACACCGAUGGCGAAGGCAGAUCUCUGGGCCGCUACUGACGCUGAGGAGCGAAAGCAUGGGGAGCGAAC
This 401-nucleotide ribosomal RNA is filed under the name uncultured bacterium. Its description in RNAcentral is "partial 16S ribosomal RNA". It matches the Rfam family "Bacterial small subunit ribosomal RNA", at positions 360 to 773 of the family's 1533-position model. The record is from RNAcentral.